RNAcentral lists this transfer RNA (73 nucleotides) under Sanguibacter antarcticus. It matches the Rfam family "tRNA". Rfam says of the family: Transfer RNA (tRNA) molecules are approximately 80 nucleotides in length. The record is from Rfam by way of RNAcentral. Lineage: Bacteria; Bacillati; Actinomycetota; Actinomycetes; Micrococcales; Sanguibacteraceae. RNAcentral also lists the same sequence under 5 other names.
GCGCCCGUAGCUCAGGGGAUAGAGCACCGCUCUCCUAAAGCGGGUGUCGGCAGUUCGAAUCUGCCCGGGCGCA